GAAGAGGAAAGUCGUAACAUGGUAAGUCUACCGGAAGGUGGCCUUGGAA
Molecule: ribosomal RNA, 49 nt
Filed under: Pseudoeurycea orchimelas
Lineage: Eukaryota; Metazoa; Chordata; Amphibia; Caudata; Plethodontidae
Description: partial 12S ribosomal RNA
Source: RNAcentral